RNAcentral lists this ribosomal RNA (384 nucleotides) under uncultured eukaryote. Its description in RNAcentral is "SSU rRNA". It matches the Rfam family "Eukaryotic small subunit ribosomal RNA", at positions 587 to 972 of the family's 1831-position model. The record is from RNAcentral.
AGCUCCAAUAGCGUAUACUAACGUUGUUGCAGUUAAAAAGCUCGUAGUUGGAUUUCUGUAGGGGUAAGGCGGCCGGCCACUCGUGGUUGUAGCUUGUUAUUACCCUUGCAUCUUGUCACAAUCCGCGAUGGCAUUAACUUGUUGUCGCUGGGGACUGACUCGUUUACUUUGAGAAAAUUAGAGUGUUCAAAGCAGGCUAUCGCCUUGAAUAUAUUAGCAUGGAAUAAUGAUAUAGGACUUUGGUUCUAUUUUGUUGGUUGUUCGAGAACCGAAGUAAUGAUUGAUAGGGACAGUUGGGGGCGUCAGUAUUCUGAAGCGAGAGGUGAAAUUCUUGGACCUUCGGAAGACUAACAACUGCGAAAGCAUUUGCCAAGAAUGUUUUCA